RNAcentral lists this ribosomal RNA (585 nucleotides) under Salmonella enterica. Its description in RNAcentral is "partial 23S ribosomal RNA". It matches the Rfam family "Bacterial large subunit ribosomal RNA", at positions 604 to 1190 of the family's 2925-position model. Lineage: Bacteria; Pseudomonadati; Pseudomonadota; Gammaproteobacteria; Enterobacterales; Enterobacteriaceae. The record is from RNAcentral.
CCUUUUGUAUAAUGGGUCAGCGACUUAUAUUCUGUAGCAAGGUUAACCGAAUAGGGGAGCCGGAGGGAAACCGAGUCUUAACCGGGCGUUAAGUUGCAGGGUAUAGACCCGAAACCCGGUGAUCUAGCCAUGGGCAGGUUGAAGGUUGGGUAACACUAACUGGAGGACCGAACCGACUAAUGUUGAAAAAUUAGCGGAUGACCUGUGGCUGGGGGUGAAAGGCCAAUCAAACCGGGAGAUAGCUGGUUCUCCCCGAAAGCUAUUUAGGUAGCGCCUCGUGAAUUCAUCUCCGGGGGUAGAGCACUGUUUCGGCUAGGGGGCCAUCCCGGCUUACCAACCCGAUGCAAACUGCGAAUACCGGAGAAUGUUAUCACGGGAGACACACGGCGGGUGCUAACGUCCGUCGUGAAGAGGGAAACAACCCAGACCGCCAGCUAAGGUCCCAAAGUCAUGGUUAAGUGGGAAACGAUGUGGGAAGGCCCAGACAGCCAGGAUGUUGGCUUAGAAGCAGCCAUCAUUUAAAGAAAGCGUAAUAGCUCACUGGUCGAGUCGGCCUGCGCGGAAGAUGUAACGGGGCUAAACCAU